This 533-nucleotide ribosomal RNA is filed under the name Neobacillus sp. MM2021_6. RNAcentral's name for it is "bacterial SSU rRNA". It matches the Rfam family "Bacterial small subunit ribosomal RNA", at positions 1001 to 1533 of the family's 1533-position model. Lineage: Bacteria; Bacillati; Bacillota; Bacilli; Caryophanales; Bacillaceae. The record is from RNAcentral.
UAGAGAUAGGACGUUCCCCUUCGGGGGACAGAGUGACAGGUGGUGCAUGGUUGUCGUCAGCUCGUGUCGUGAGAUGUUGGGUUAAGUCCCGCAACGAGCGCAACCCUUGAUCUUAGUUGCCAGCAUUCAGUUGGGCACUCUAAGGUGACUGCCGGUGACAAACCGGAGGAAGGUGGGGAUGACGUCAAAUCAUCAUGCCCCUUAUGACCUGGGCUACACACGUGCUACAAUGGAUGGUACAAAGGGCUGCAAGACCGCGAGGUUUAGCCAAUCCCAUAAAACCAUUCUCAGUUCGGAUUGUAGGCUGCAACUCGCCUACAUGAAGCCGGAAUCGCUAGUAAUCGCGGAUCAGCAUGCCGCGGUGAAUACGUUCCCGGGCCUUGUACACACCGCCCGUCACACCACGAGAGUUUGUAACACCCGAAGUCGGUGGGGUAACCGUAAGGAGCCAGCCGCCUAAGGUGGGACAGAUGAUUGGGGUGAAGUCGUAACAAGGUAGCCGUAUCGGAAGGUGCGGCUGGAUCACCUCCUUU